RNAcentral lists this non-coding RNA (213 nucleotides) under Streptomyces sp. CC53. Its description in RNAcentral is "Streptomyces RNA 1601". It matches the Rfam family "Streptomyces RNA 1601". Rfam says of the family: Identified by deep sequencing of transcriptome at the end of exponential growth phase. Appears longer on northern blot than sequencing transcript. Streptomyces specific. Lineage: Bacteria; Bacillati; Actinomycetota; Actinomycetes; Kitasatosporales; Streptomycetaceae. The record is from Rfam by way of RNAcentral.
GACGACCGGCCGGAACCACUGCGCUCCGGCCCACAAGUGGAGGCUCCGAUCUCCCACCUGACCGCCCCGAGGGGCGGCGGGUCACCGGUCAGGCGGCGCCCAUCGUUCCGUACGGACGAUGGAGUCGCCCGAAGACAGCGCCCCGCGGUUGGCCCGUGGCGGUGUUCCGGUAAUCCCAGGAGCCCCGCCUGUGUCCCGUCCGGGGCAUUUUUC